UGUCUCUUGAGACAUCCAUGCCGCCGCUACGCCGUUCGCUGCCGUCUUCAUCCACGUCCCGCCGCACUGCAUACGACGCCACUGCUCUUGCUCGGGACGGUGAUGUCAUUCUCUGUGUGUGUGUGUGGCCUGUGGCUAUUAGAUUCUUAACGCAGGAAUUGCGCCCCAAAUUUAGUUCCUCGGUGAGUUACUUUCCCUGGCAUACGAUAAAAUGUGGAUUUUGAUUGCUGAUCGUUUCUAAUGAUUGCAUUCUUUAUCGAUCGAUAUGAUGUUACGCAAAAGUAAAAGGGGAUAUAAGAGGGAAUAGAUAAUGCAAGGACGUAAUGGACUCCUCUGAUUUCUUCAUUCUUCAAACUUCGGGGUAAUUUGGACAUACUGAACCGAGUAGAUGGUAGUGAUGCUCAUGAGCGUUGGGUUCCCAGACAAUGGCUGGAGGCAGGUCCUUCAUUCUCGUUCAAGCAGUCAUUGGAUGAACUAGGUAGUAGAAAAUUUGGGCUGAAUUUGACUCUGUUGCCAACAAAAUUAAGAAUGUACUAUGUUACUCUAAAUUCAUAGAUUUGAUACUAUUUUGUCGAUAGAUACCGUCGUGGGCCUGCAAGCAUUCAGAAAUAUAGACACAUGUUAAUAAGCAUUGGUAAAUAUUCCAGAAAGGGGAGACAUCUAAUAACCAGAAUGUGUCUGAACUUAAUGACCAGGAAAAGAGUUUUGUUCUUGCAGCGUUCAUUUCAAUAGAUGUGACAUUGUGAUUUAUUGGCUCAUUUUCUAGUAACUUAAAUUAUUUGGUGUUUAUCUUAUGCUCUCUUGAAAUCUUAACUUUUUUUCUCAGUAAUAUAUAUAUUUGAUGCCUUGUUAAACUCUCAAUGGACAUGACACUAUACUACAUGAAUCUGGGAUUGAAAUUGUAUGAACUCACUACUGCACCUGGGUGCAGUGGGGUGCUACAUAGAGCAAUCUUAACUUACCGACAAAGAUGUAUACUUCCACAAUUUGUAUGGGCUAGUGCUCAUGCUAAACUUUUUUGGUGUGUGCUUGCUUUAUUAGGUUUCCCUAUAUGCAAAAGAUAACAGGUGGUAUGAACACACACAAGUGACAGGGGGAAAGUCUCAAGUGGGUGCAAGGUAUGUUGCCUGCAAUAAGAUACUAGACAGAAGGGGAAAGUCUCAAGAGGGUGCAAGAUAUGGAGCCUGCAAUGAAGAUCCAAAGUUUGAUGUAUUGCAGCUUCAUCUUGUUGAUGAUGCCUGACAUGAGACGACAUAAAGGGUGAUGGGAUAGGAGAAUUGGGGAACACAGUAGGUAAUGAUGAUAGAGAAAGAAAGGCUAACAUAGAGAGAGGAUGCAAUAAAACACUCGAUGAUUUGUAGAAAUCUGAACUUAACAAUGAAAGAACAAGUGUUGCAAGUUCAAACGUAUACUGAUUUCGUCGAGGGAGAGAGGCAUUGAACCACCAUUUUGAUCAGCUGGAGUUGGUGAGAUGUUGAUCCACAAGCCUGUGCUGCAAGUGGGCUCCAAAAAUGUUAGGGUUUCAAUGGAGGUUGCUGAUGAUUAGGCUAUUCUGGGGAAGAGAGGGGAGAAGGUUAAAUAGUUACUCCUAAGACUUGCUUCGAGUCCUCCGACUUACAUCGAGGGGAACUCUUGACAUCACACUGCACACACGUUAUGUGGGAAAACUAAAGCUUUCAUUUAUAUAAUAAUUCUUUGUCCCGUUUUAUAGGACCCAAUUAAAAGAAGAAAAGGAUGAAAAUAAUAAGAAGAAAAUACAAUCAUAUCAAAGCUAAUCAAAUAAAUUGUGGUUUCUUUCUUUCUGGAAGAUAUGAUUGACCAUACAUGGACGGUAAUUGGUUUUGGCGGCUCUCCUAUUUAGUUGCAAUGCAUGAAGAUGGUUGAUGAAUGACCUUCCACAUAGUUGCUGAAGCCUUGCAUGAGAAGUAGAGAGCGGACUUCAGCCAAGAAUGACUUGCCAACAAGCUGAAGCCUUGGACUUCUACAUUAAGAUAUUGGCAACUCAUUCUUGGCUUUAUUCCACUCUCUGCAUCUUCAUGUCACGCUUGCAGACCAGUCUGUUGAACAAUCAUUCAAUCUAUGCUUUCUUGAAUGACUCAUUGCCUCUAAUUUUGUUCUUCUGGUUUCUAUGUGGUAUUUCUGUUUGUAUAUAUAGGCAGUACUUUACAUAUUCUUACAUGGACUCAUUAGAUAAUUGAGAACUGGACUGGUUUCUGCUGAAGAAAUUCCUCAAGGAAUAUAUUCCUUGCACUGACAGUGCUGCAACAUGUGAAGGCAUCUAAAUUAUAAAAGUCAAACAUCUGCUUUGGGUUCAAUUUGCUGUGGGUUUAUAAUAGUCACAUUUAAAGAAGAUUAACUAAAGGGUUAUGGAGGUUAAAUGUUAUACUACUUACAUAGUGAGUGGUCAUCCUGGAAUGUUUAUCCGUUUGUCAAUUGUUGCAAGAAUAAGAAUUGAUUUGAUGUGAGCCAAACAUGAAGGGUCUUAUUCUUGGCAUCUAAUCUGGUAAAGGAUUCUUUCAGGAGAUUUGAGAUUGGUCAAUGCAUUCAUCUUGAGGAGAAUGAGUUCCUGUUGAUUUGAUAGGCUUAGAUUGCAUUGUUUCUCAUUUUGGCUUGUGAACCUUCUACACUUUGUUAUUGUUGUAUUAGAUGUCGAGACAAUUUCUUAUUCUGUGGAUAUUAUAUAUGUGUCCUUCUGGUAUAGCUAAACUGACAAAAAAGGAGGUCUAGUCAUGGUUAAACAUAACUGUAUUGUUCUUAUUAGGUCAGGAAAUUUCAAUUCUUAUUUUAAUCACAUAAAUUUGUGCUUUCCGAGCCUUUUAAUCAUACAUUCACAUCUAUAUAUCAAAGAAGUGGUUUUCAUGUUUGAGACUAUUUGAGCCUGUGACACUCACUUUAAUUACUUGAUUGUUGAGGCUAUUUGAGGCAACUAAUAAUCCAUUUCUACCCCUUGUUUACCUUUUAUGUGGGAAUCCCCAUUGGUAAAUGAUGAUUUUUGUAUUCAUGACGAUUUUCAUAUAAACUAGUCUUUUGGACUAUGCUCAUUGCGGAUUCCAUUUCAAAGGUCAUAUUUUGAUCAAUGAUUUGAAUCUCAGUCCAAUGCCGGUUUUCGUAAUCUGCUAGCUCAAUACCGUAUUGGUAUAAUAGGUAGUGUAUUGGCCCAUAAAGUUCGUGUUCAUAAAAAAGAAACAAUAAAAGAAAACCUGAUUGUUAUCAGCUUAUAUUGGAUCAGUAAAUAUCGGUGGAUACUGUAUUAACCAGUAUUUGAGUCCAUACUUUUGAUACCUGUAUCUAAGUGAAGUAUAUGUCUUUUAUUGGAGAAGCUAUUUGUUGGAAAGUGAUAUUGAAUCAUGAAAUUCAUCCUAGGUACUUAGAUAUUUUGAUAUAAAAAUCUUUACUAAUAUUUCAAAUGUGAGCAUUAUGGGGUAAUGUAUUGUCUAAUAGUCAACAUGCUUUCAACACCAUUGCAGAAAAUAUGUUAUUAAUUUUAGCCAUAGUUGGGUCAUUACAACUUUUGUUGUAGUAGUUACUUCAAGACUCAACUUUGUCACAUAUUCCAUAUAUCAUAUUAGAUAGAUAUCAUAUUUAUGAAGUACUAUUUACUUUCAUGAUGUCUUGAUGGUGAAAUGGUAGACACAUGAGACUCAAAAUCUCAUGCUAAAGAGUGUGGACAUUCAAGUCCCAUCAGGGCAUAAUAUUGAGAAUGCUAAUUGAAUGAACAAUUUAAUAAUAGAUCUAGAUCUAAUCAAUCUUGGUAUAUCAAGUAUCAAGGUUUGCCUUACUGGUGGUAUUAGCCUGGCUACGGCGAGGAAGAAGAGAGAAUUCGAAGAAGAAGGAGAAUCAUCAAAGAAGAGGGAGAACCAUCGAGAAAGAGGAUCGUGGAGUCACCAAUGCGUCGUCACCAGUGUCUCAAUGAACCUGAGCCCAUCGAACCUCGGUGCAAACUUGUCUUCCAUGCCCUUUCUCGAUCCCGAUCUGGCACCUCCCUCCCUCGACGAUCUUGAUCCAGGAGGUAACGACGAAGAGAGUCGUACCUCUUUGGAGGAGGAGCUGGAGGCACGGGGAUCAGGAGAUGCGGCGGUGAGAGCAAUAGAAGAGGCGACCGUGAGGAAGGCGGUGAAGACCUCAACCUUCUUCAUCUCCGAAUAGUCUCCUUCAUCCACUGUCACCGCACGAAGAACCUUUUGAUGUCGUCUUUCUUCUCCUCACCACCUUGGCGUCGAAGGUCGCAUAUGAGGCGACGAGGAGAAGAAGGACGAGGCGACAAUGAUGAGGCUACUACUUGGUAAUCUUCUUUAUAUCUUUAUAUAUUAUUAUUUUUAUAUAUUUUUAUAUAAAAAGAUAUAUAUUUUAUAUAUUUUAUAUAUUAAUUAUAUAUAUUUAUAUAUUUAGUAUUGCUCAGUACUAAAAUUGAUUUUUAUAUUUUUUAUAAGCGUACCGCUUGGUACAUCAUACCGUACCGAGCAAGCAAAGCUCGGUACACCAAUAUGGUAUGAAAUUUCAAUCCUUGAGUGACACAUCUUUUUUGGGCUUUGAGGAGCAGCUUUGUGGUAUGUUCCGGAUCAUCCUUCCAUUGAUAUUGAAUUAUCUAUAAAGAAAUGAGUUAAAUUGUUAGAUUACAAGUUACAUUUUAAGAUUCAAAUGAAUCAAGUAUAAAUGGAUCGAUUAAUGAAUAUACAUAGUUUUACUACUAAAAAAGAAUGAUAGGGCUCUGUGGGCAAUGGAUCGGGGUCCUCGAUAUAUAUAUAUAUAUAUAUAUAUAUAUAUAUAUAUAUAUAUAUAUAUAUAUAUUUGAUAUGUUUGUUGGACCCAAUCUUAAAAUUGAUCCUAUGACAUAGUAUACUGAUACAUUGUAUGCUAUUAAUGCAUCAAUGUGGUGAUGGUCGUAAUUUGAUCAUUGUGAAUCACAUGUGUUCGAGGCGGCUCCUGAGGCAAGUACGAUCAUGGCAUAUAUUGUUGCAGAGGUUGGAGAAUACCAUAACUUAUAUUUUCAUCAUUGAUCUGAUACUCUAUAUCAUAAGAUCGAUUACUGUACUGUUUCUCUGAGAAAAAUGAUUAUCAUUAUACUGAUGUUGGCAUUAAAAUUCUCCAUAAUAUUAUGGCUAGGAAUAUGACGAGCUCCACUUUAUGUCUACGUCGUGUAGGCUCUAUUGUAUCUGCUCAGAAUCAUCCACUGUCUUUCCCUUCCCUUUCCUUAUAUAAACUUGACUAGUACCUCAUCGAGUUGUAUAAUUUGAAUAUUGGGUAGCAUACAUAAAAUACUACUCCUCGGUCUAUCCACCACCUUCAAAAUGUGUAGACAGGACCAUCGACUCUUAGGCGUUGUCGCCAUCAUCGGUUGAGGCACUACUAUCCACAUUGCUGCCAUGUCUCUAGACGAAGUGGGUUGUUGAAUUUGAUUGAGUAGUCUCGUCACCUGAUUCGAUUCUUUCCAACGAUGUAAUUGAUGCUAUUACCUUCUCCUUUGCCUUUGUAUACUGGGUAGACAAUUGUGAUAGUUGAGUGUCUCUGAUUCCUCGAGUAGUUUGAAUCGAUGUUGUUGGACUCCUUUCGCCACGUUCUAAUCGAGGGGAAUCUUCCUUCUGCUAGGGAUGUGUUUCCUUUUCUUCUAUUGCCUCGAUGAAAUCAUAAAUGACAUGGAGGAUCUCCCGUCUCAUUAAGUAAAGAAUCCUCUUGGUUCUCCGCUACUUUGACCCAUUCUAACACCAGAGGUGAAUCUUCAUUAUAGUAUUGAAGGUCAAUGGGAUUAAUCUCUGGUUCCUUUGACUCCUUAUCCAGCUCGACACAUCGCAAACUUAGCUGCAUGGUGUAGUAGAUAUAUACCAGUUUUUUCAAUCGUCUAUAUGAUAGCCUAUUACAGACCUUUGUAUGAAUCAAUGCAAAUGUUGACCAGUUAUGUUCGUAACCAUUCGAUAUCGCUAUUUGUGAAAGUACACGGACGACAACCUUUCUUAAAUUUGGUGUGUCCCCUCCAAAUUAUUGCUAUUUCUCGAUUGUAAAAAUAUAUAAAUAAGACUUUAUUAGUAUAACAAAUAAUUAAUGUUAAAUAUAGUUUAUAAUCAACAUAUGUGUAAUUUUCCCUUACCGGGAUCAAUAUUGUAAUGACACGAAAUAGCUACAUUGUCGAAGAAUGAAUCAAUACUUUUUUCAAAUAGUCAACCAUCCAUAAUAGUAUCGGCUGCAUUGACAGUGUUUGGUAAUAGUCGAUAUAUAACAUUUCUUAGUGCCAACAAUAAAUUUGAUCACAUUCCAAGAUUAUACUGAAAUUGAAUGGCUAGAUUUAUAUAAUAUGUUGUAAGACAUAAUUUUAUUAGUAAAAUUUUUAAAUAUUAAAAAAUUAUGAAUUAAAUUAUAUUGAAUAUAAUUUACUUACAUUAUGGAUGUCUUGGUCCAUAUGAACCUUGGUCCUACGGUCGAUGAUAUGUAAGUAUCGAUCAGUCUUGAAAUUAUUUGCAAAUGCUUUCUUGACCUCCUCUCUUGUUGUAAGCAGUAAAUCUCUAUAUCGACCUUAUGGAGGACAACGUAAAGUGGUUCCACUCCUUCUAUAAUUUCAUUUACGACAUCCCAAAAUCUAAAAGAAAAAAUAAUCAUUUUCACCUUUUUCUAUCGCUCGAUCUCGAAUACCUAGAAUUGGACCAUUUUUGUGAUGUGACUAUUGCCUUGAGCCCCUACCUCUUUUGUUGUAUUGACUUUAAAAUAAUAAAAUUUGUAACAAACUAAGUGACUCUACGUCAGAGUAUCUCACCAUUUGUAUACUUUUGCAUCAAAGAGUAGAGUCGAGCUAUACACUUGCGUACUGAUGGUAGCUCAUCAAUAUUCUUCAACAUUAAGUCCAUGUAAUGAGCUGCUCAUAGAGUCCAAAACAAUAUAUUUUUCUUCCAUUAAUCGUAAACCUAUCUUAUUGAAAUUAGCUCCAUUGUCGGUGACAAUGUACUGUGGUCCGAUCUCCUCUACCAUGGUAUUCAUUAGGUUUUUUCAAUAUAGCUUACAUCUUGAAUCUUAUUGGAAGCAUUAAUCGACUUAUGAAAAACCACUCAUUUGUUGUAAUAUACAAGAAAAUUGAUGAUACUCAUUCUUGUUGGCCCUAUUCAAUUGUCACAUAUCAGUGUCACCAUAUAUUCAUCCCAUUGUCUUUUGAAGAAUUUUAUCUAAUCCCUUAAUUCUGCCUCCUUUUCAUCUAAAUACAAACUGUGGAUCUCCUUUAGCGUUGGAGGUUGGAUCCUCGUGAUAACCUUUUAGAUAAAGGAGAUCAUGCUCUAAUAAUAUAGACCUUAGGCUGUGUUUGCUAGAAUUCUGUAGAAGUUCAACCGGUUAGCUAUUGUAUUUCUAAUAUCCCGCUUAUUUUCUUUUGUAUAUGUAUUUUCAAUUCGUGUUUGCUUUGCUGUUUGUGGAGAAUAGACUUCCAUAUCAAUAUCAAUAAUAUAUGGUGUUGAUCUCCUGCCAAGUCCUUUGAUAAAACCACGAUUCCACACUGCCUCUUGCUACCAAUCUGGCUCAAUUAAGGAGGGGCAAUUGGCUACCUCAUGCUGGCUAACCUCUGGAAUCCCUGUUACGUAGACCCAUUGCCACUGCCAUGCUUCCAUUGUGAGUUAGGUCGUCGAUGCCUCAUUGCCUCCUCGUACAUGUACUGAUACUUCAUUGAUGCAUGAAUACUAGCUCUGAGAUCUAUAUCGAUAUUAUCAUUGCGAGCCUUGUAGUAUUCUUCCUGUUCCUUGGCCUUCUUUUUAAUUAUAUCUUCUCUUGUCUGUUGUAGCUUAAUUUUGAAAUUAUUGAUGGAUCUCCAUUGGAACCUUUUUGUAUUUUACAACAUUGGGAUAUGUAUAUUUAGUUGGGUGAUUUCUCUAACUCGGUCAAUGUAAUCACAAUGAAUGUAUUGCCAAUGAUAAUGGUUCCCAUCUAUCUUUUGGGCAUGAUCCCAAGCGUCGUCAUGUGCCUAUUCCUUUGGUGUCAUGUUCUUACCAAAAUUAAAUUAAAUAAACAAGUUGCGAUUAACUCUAAUUUGAAAUAACAAGCUACGGUUAUAUGUAAUGAACCCUACUUUGCCACUAUAAACAUAUCAAUCAACCUAAUAAACAUUAAAUACAUAGAAUUUACCCAAUAUAGAUCAAAUUAUGAUGAAUUCAUAAUUAAAUAUCAUAACAUUAAAAACACUAAUUUUUCCUAAUUAGCCCUCUUUUACCAUUAUAAACAUAUCAAACGCCCUACUAAUUAUUAAAUACAUAGAAUUGACCUAGGUCAAUUCACGAUGAAUUAAUCAUUACAUACAUAAAUUACAACAUUAAAAAACUUAAAUAAACUCUAAUUAGCCUUAUUUUACCAUUAUAAAUAUGUCAAACACUACAGGAGGCAUUAAAUACAUAAAUUUGAUGUAAUAUUAGUCAAAUUUUGAUGAAAUAUUAUUAAAUAUACUAAUCACAGCGUUAACAUAGUUAAUUAAGUGCAAAUGAGAGAGUGAGGAAAGUAUGUGAGUGAGAAAGAGAUUGCGAGAGUAGAAGAGUUAGAGAGAGCGAAAGGGGAAUGAAUGAGAGAGUAGAAAGAGGUUUUUAGUUCAAACAGAUGAAUCCUGGCCACCCAUCGGUAUUGAUUGAAAUUCGAUUGUUCUGCUCGGUAUAGACCCCGUAUCGGGUGAUACAAGGUCAUAUAACACUAACCGCCCGAGACAGGGUGGUCCGCGUACCGGUCUCCUGUUGGACUAACACAUACUUCCCGUAUCGGAUGGUAUACCACAUCAUGACAAACAUUGCCAAGUAUCUGAUCUCUUGAUACGAAGUAAUUCUACAAUCUCCACAAUCAAAGUCUGGCCUGUUAAAAUUGAAAUAGGUUCGCUAGGGGGUUACAAAAUCUUGGCAAUCUUUCUGUCUAAUGAAUCAGGAAUUUGUAUAGUAGUGGUCCGUCUCUGAACCAUCCUUUAGGUAUAUGAUUCAAGAGGAAUCACAAGGGUGGAUUGAUAAGUUGGCACAUGUUGCAUUUAACCUUGUGUCACUUCUGUGAUAAUUUUGGUCUUGCUCUGGAUGUGCAAAAAAAUAUCUUUUUUUUCUUUAAAAGUCUAGAGAAUUCAAUAAGCUUCAUUUGGAGAGUAAUAACCACAUGAACAAUAUAAGUUGAGUUCAAACUUGGGAAAUGAUCUAGACGGAUUUCUACCAAAGAGUCACAUUCAUCUCACAGCAGAAUGUUAGUAAUUGAAAAUCUCAUUGUUACUUUACACAUGUACCUAAUACUUAUAAUCUGUAAAUUUACAAGAAAGCUUUUGGUACCAUGGAUCAAUUCCCUGAUCGAAGGCACAUGUAUAUUUCUUAUGAUAGUUUAAAUGGAGAGUUGCAUGUUCCUGGUUGUAUAAGUAAAUGAGAUUAUUAAAAGAAUAGGCAUUCUUUGUGGAAUAAUGUUGUGAAGAAUAAUUGAGAUAAAUAUGAUGAAAUGAGUAAGUGAUGUUAAACAAAAAGAUUCAAUAAUUUUUUCAAAAGAGAAUAUAAAUAAAGAAUUAUUUUGUACGUUAGGUUGGAUAGAGGUAGCACUAUAUGACUAUAGCAUGAGGGGAUGAUAUUUUGGGAGCUCAAACACUCAAAUUAGGCAUUAUGAUACAUAGUGAGCUAGAAAAGAAACAGCAAACUUUUGAUGUAGCAUAGUGAGAAAAAGACCAAUUUUUUAUUAGGCAUUAUGAUACAAAUGAUUCUUGUAGGUGACUAAAAAGAAUCAAGAUAAAUGCUCUUUUUUUUUUUGUUAAUGUUGUGAUUAUCAUAGUAGAAGCCAUAAUAUUAUGAUUUUUAUGCAAGUUGUACAAGGGGAUUACCAAAUGAUUACCCCUAUGUUGCUCUUACACCAGUUGGUAGAAAGCUAUCACAGUGUCAAUACUGGUCAGACUAGUAAAUAGUGUUUGUACUUUGUACCAUGGUAUUAGGUUUCUUGGUUGUACUUGCUCGUGCGACAUCUUAUAGUUUUUCAAUGUGGUUAUUUAAUGUAUACAUUUCCUUAAAAAGGUUAUCUUCAUAUCAUGUAUGCUCUAAUUACAAAUGGCUGAACUCCUAAAAAGCUCCUGGCCCCCCAGUCUAAUAUCAGGGACUUGGCUAAAAUACCUGAUAAGAAACGACCUAAUUGUAAUCUCAUGAGGGCUAACAUAGAGACCUACAGAGAAAGCGACAUCUUAUAGUUUUUCAAUGUGGUUAUUUAAUGUUUGUAUUUCCUUAAAAAGUUUUAUCUUUCAUAUCAUGUAUGCUCUAAUUACAAAUGGCUGAACUUCUAAAGAAGCUCCUGACCACCCUUCUCUAAUGUCAUGGACUUGGCUAAAAUUGCACCCUAAUGGCACCUGAUAAUAAACGACCUAAUUGUAACCUCAUGAGGUCUAACAAAGAGACCUACAGAGAAAACAAUGGUUUGUCGAAGAACAUGUGGGUAAGCAAUUGAACAACAGGAACUUUGUUAGAAAAAUGUUUACUACAGGGUGAUAUAAUCACAGUAAGAUUGCUUCUUUAUUUUAGGUGUAAAGGUUCAAGAGUCAUGAAGAUAACAUCUCUUCGUUCCAGGCUCAGUUAGCAGAGUCUCAUAUAUCAAAUUGCUCUUUAUAUUUUCUUUUCUGUUUACAAAAUAAUUGGUGAUCUUUGUGAAACUUUGGGUAAACUCCUUUGAUUUUGGAAAAAGAAAAAGAAAGUCAUGACUCAACUUCUUCCAUCCAGUCCAAAUCCAAAUUGUUAUAUAUCUAGACAACAUCCAGAAUUUUUAUCCAGUUGAGAAGGACAGACACCAUUAGUUGAAUUAACCUAAACUGCCCUACACUCUCCUCUCUACUCUAAGAUGAUCUCAGGCAGUAGGACAUUUCCAUUUGCACAACAGCUAUCUUUCUUCCCACACCGUUUCCUGUAACUAUUACAACACCCACCGAUCAUUCUCCUUUCUAUGAUCCCCUGUGAAGAUGAACAACCUUGUUGUUCUUUCCCACACACAUGCCGGUGAGUAAUGCAACAAUCACCAUGCUUUUCCUUGUCUGUGCCUCUGCAAAAUUUUGAGGAACUACAAAUGACAUGUCUCUCACAGCAAUUCUCCCUGAUAUCAGGCUUGUGGCUGCACGCAACAUUCUUGCUUGUAUUCUCUUUGAGCAAUCCAUCUCCAUGUUGCACCUUCCCAUCAGUUAUCAAGAUUGAAUGUUCCUGAGUUGCAUUUGCUUUGUCUGCCACUGACUCAUGACAGCAAUGAGAAGCGAUUGAUGAUUCAAUUUGACUGUCUUGAUUCAUGCAGUUCUCAUGUGUCUUUUCUUUGUCUCCCUUCUCAUGCUCAUGGCAACUAUGCCCAUGUUUGCAACUCUGUGAUUGUUCAUGACUGCCAGGCAAUUUGUGUUCAUGCCUUGCACAAUGUUUCUUGUUCUUGUCUUUUGAUUGCAAUAGCAUCAUGCUGUUUAAGAUGACUAGAAGGCAUGUGCCGACAUCAGCUAGGACAGCUGCCCAAAGAAGUGGAUGGCCAGCAAAGGCAAAUGCAAGGACUACCACUUUGGUUAUCACCGAGAAGAAAAUAUUCUGAAUGAUGGUAAAAUAUGUCUUCCUGGCCAGUCUGAUAGCUUUUGGGACCUUGGAGAUGUCAUUUGACAUUAAGGUUAUAUGACUGGUCUCCUUUGCAACUGCUGAACCUGAUAUGCCCAUUGAGAUCCCAACAUCUGCCAUGGCCAGUGAAGGUGCAUCAUUCAUCCCAUCUCCAAUCAUUGCUAUAGAACCUUCUCCGGCCUUUAGAUCUCCAAUAAUUCUUACCUUGUCCUCUGGUAGAAGCUCUGCAUGAAUUAUUUCUAUGGCAUGCCCUAGCUGUAAUUAAGUAUUAGAAAGAGCAAAAUUUGUUCUAAAGUCUUAAGUAGUUGCUUAAAAAAAAAAAUCUUGCUUGCUUUUGAUUUUUUAUUAGUUUACCUGGUUCUGUGCAUGGAUGGCUGCCUCAUUGCUGUCUCCUGUAAUCAUUGCACAUUUAAUUCCCAGUGAUUUUAGUGCCUUUAGUGCUUGUGCAGCACCAGCCCGGCAGGUAUCAGACAGAGUGAAAAUUCCAAUUGGAAUCAUGUCCAAGAAUAUAUAUCCAUAGUUGAUUCCUUCCAUGCCCUCCACGUUUGGAACUGAAACAUCCAAACACAAAAACCUUAGAAAUUCUUUGAAGUAAUCACUGUAUCCUUCUGCUAAUCAUGAAAUAAAGGAGAUGGUCUAUAGAAAAAGUAAAAUAAAAAUUUUAGACUGGAAGCUCUGUUGGUUUCUAUGUUGAUAUCUUUUAUAAAUUGUAUCAGUAAGAUCUUUGCUAACACAAACAUCCGAUAAAAUCUAAGUCAUGCUGCAAAACUUCGGGAGUGAUACAAUGUGACCUACACAACCCUUAAGGCAAACAAUUGAUGGGAUAUAUCUUCUUACCUGUCUUGCAUGCGGCCCUUGAUGCAAUUCUCUUAUUCCCUAUGUAUAUGUUCUUUCCAUCUAUUUCUCCAUGGAUUCCUUCUCCUGGGUAAAUAUGAAACUCCCUUACAUUCUCUGGUUUUGGUUUGAUAGAAUUUGAUUUAGCAUAAUCUACCAAUGCGGAUGCCAUUGGGUGGCUUGAUUUGCUUUCAAUGCUUGAAACCCUGUAGAGUUACCACAUCAUCAGUUCAUCUCUUAUAACAUGCAGAAGCUCGUCUUUAAGGAUGAGCCAAAUGUUGCAAAAGAGCAAGCUUUAUCAUCACUUUGUUGCCUUUUAUUUGAGAACAUCUUUAUUUACAUUUCAAUUCUUGCAUGUAUGUAUCAGUUUUCCUUCUACCGAUUUUAUGAAGAUCUCUGUGUCCAUUAACAGAUUAAUGUAUUUGGAAAACAAAACCUUGCUGUAAUUGAUGUUUUACCAGUAAAGUAGUGUGUGCAGGGAGACGUUGCUGCUAAUCGAGCGGAAAUCCAUGACAGUGAACUCUCCUUUGGUUAGUGUCCCUGUCUUGUCAAACGCCACCACUGUUAUGCCAGCCAGGUUUUCAAGAACAUCUCCUCCUUUGAUAAAGAGUCCUGCCCUGGCUGCUC
RNAcentral lists this long non-coding RNA (12983 nucleotides) under Musa acuminata (dwarf banana). Lineage: Eukaryota; Viridiplantae; Streptophyta; Magnoliopsida; Zingiberales; Musaceae. The record is from RNAcentral.